Molecule: ribosomal RNA, 251 nt
Filed under: uncultured bacterium
Lineage: Bacteria
Description: partial 16S ribosomal RNA
Rfam family: Bacterial small subunit ribosomal RNA
Source: RNAcentral
UACAGAGGUCUCAAGCGUUGUUCGGAUUUAUUGGGCGUAAAGAGCGUGUAGGCGGCCAGACAGUCCGUUGUGAAACUCGAGGCUCAACCUCGAGAUGUCGAUGGAAACCGUCUGGCUAGAGUCCGGAAGAGGAGUGUGGAAUUCCUGGUGUAGCGGUGAAAUGCGCAGAUAUCAGGAAGAACACCUAUGGCGAAGGCAGCACUCUGGGACGGUACUGACGCUGAGACGCGAAAGCGUGGGGAGCGAACAGG